This is a non-coding RNA of Mycena leptocephala, 87 nucleotides long. Lineage: Eukaryota; Fungi; Basidiomycota; Agaricomycetes; Agaricales; Mycenaceae. The record is from the annotation of a GenBank genome assembly.
UCGGACGUGGUGCAUGACGCACUCCCGUUUGUUGUUCUGAGUCAUAAAUAAAUGCGGGAAACCCGGGUUCGACUCGCGGCGUCCGAC